Non-coding RNA from Lupinus albus (white lupine), 241 nucleotides. Lineage: Eukaryota; Viridiplantae; Streptophyta; Magnoliopsida; Fabales; Fabaceae. The record is from the annotation of a GenBank genome assembly.
GGAGUAGACUUUUAAAGUUACUCGGAAUUGAUCUCCAACGCUCACCGAGGUAAAUGAAGGACUUUGAGGAUGAAGCUCAAUUAGGAAGCUUUUGUGUUUAAUUACUCGCUUGUCUGUAUUGCUAAGUGACGUUGUAGUUGAUUUAAUAGUAUUAUGGGAUGACUGUAAAUCCGUUUAGAUCAAUACGGAUAUGUGUAGUUAUGGGCUUUAUAACCUUGGGAGACCCAUAACUGGUUGGUAA